RNAcentral lists this ribosomal RNA (253 nucleotides) under uncultured bacterium. RNAcentral's name for it is "partial 16S ribosomal RNA". It matches the Rfam family "Bacterial small subunit ribosomal RNA", at positions 524 to 776 of the family's 1533-position model. The record is from RNAcentral.
UACGUAGGGACCGAGCGUUGUCCGGAAUCAUUGGGCGUAAAGAGUGUGUAGGCGGCCACUUAAGUCCUGCGUGAAAUCUUGCGGCUCAACCGCAAGCGGUCGUGGGAAACUGGGUGGCUAGAGUGCGGGAGAGGAGAGUGGAAUUCCUGGUGUAGCGGUGGAAUGCGCAGAUAUCAGGAAGAACACCCGUGGCGAAGGCGGCUCUCUGGAACGCAACUGACGCUGAGACGCGAAAGCGUGGGGAGCAAACAGG